This 532-nucleotide long non-coding RNA is filed under the name Triticum aestivum (bread wheat). RNAcentral describes it as "long non-coding RNA (TAES_LNC022408)". The record is from RNAcentral. Lineage: Eukaryota; Viridiplantae; Streptophyta; Magnoliopsida; Poales; Poaceae.
AUGCGAAGCGUCAGCAGGCCUGACAGCGUCCGCUAGAACUCUUGAGGGACAGAAGCACCAGCAUUCAAGUUUCUCCUGUAUUGUGCAUGGCUGGCAUGAACUGUCCCGAACCAGCAUUCAAGCCACAUACUGAUGUGACGAUGUGAACUAUCAUGCAUGAACUUUCUUAGUCGAUUGUGAUUUUGUUGGUCUCCUUGUAUAUCCUUAGAUUAUUGUUGAUUGGCGCCCAAAUUCAGAGUUGUCAUUGUAUCCAAACAUUGCACGAGCGUACGUCUACUAGUGGCUGUUGCAUGUGGUGUGACAUGUUCUGGAGCUAAGAUAUAAAACGUUUCCUCGUACUCGAUAUUUGGGGAUAGAAGUCUUUUGUGUGUAUGAUAUUUAGUUCGGUUUCAGAGAUUCAAUUCUUCCGAGUGAAGGCUUUGAAAUCUAACUCCCAAGGAACUGGUGAGUCUUUUUGCUGGAACCGGUGAGAGAUUCAAUUCAUCUGGUCGUGGCGCUGGAGCAGGCGGUGGAGAGGAUGGCCUUCGGUGCU